Ctenopharyngodon idella (grass carp) is the source of this 1156-nucleotide long non-coding RNA. RefSeq lists it as uncharacterized. The transcript is spliced from 2 exons. Lineage: Eukaryota; Metazoa; Chordata; Actinopteri; Cypriniformes; Xenocyprididae. The record is from RefSeq and is a predicted model, not a curated record.
CACUCCUCUCCACGGUUACUGUUACCAUGACACUGUGAGUAAUCCAUAUCACUCACUAAAAUUUAACACCUUCAGGGAGUGAAAGGCUCCAACUGAGAGAGAGAGAGAUGAAGCCAAAGACAUUAAGGUUUCCAAGCCGCUGAAAAGCUCCUGUCAUGUACAUUAUUCUAGCUUGUUUUCUGAAUAACUGUCUUCUGCUGUCUGUCCCAAUGGCCUCUACUCUAACAAAGCGCUCAUAGAUCAUUUUUACUUGGACAUUUCAAGCAUCGGCCCCGGUGGGAAUCAACACAAAAAGGAGACAAGGGAUAAGGAUGAAUAGAGACAGAGUUUCCAACAUUGGAUGAUCUCUUUUCUUCUCCAAAUGAGUGAGUUUGUCCUGUCUCUGCUCCAGGAGAGCCAUCUGAGCUGGCCAAACUGGUUUUAUCUGUCCAUCCUUCUCUUCUGAAGUGAAGGACAUUAAUCCUUUUUAUUGACCCCUCUUUCUUUGGUGCUCACAAUAUUUAAUUAGUUUCAGUGGACAUUCAACAGACAUUCUGGUUCCUAUUGGUGCGACAGAAAAUCUUCAACUCUUACCCAUUCACCUUUCACUGAGUUACCCAGACUGAAGUGGGUUCAAAAUAAAACCCUAGGGUUCUUGACUUAAUUUUAAAGAACGCUUUAAGCCAAAAAGAUUCUAUACAAGGAGAAAAGUCUUUACUACCUUGCAAUGACUUGCUUCCUAUAUGUGGAUCAGAUACCCUCGAUUUCAUCAAAAAUAUCUUAAUUUGUGUUCUGAAGAUGAACGAAGGUCUUACGGGUUUGGGACGACAUGAGGUAUCUUUUGUUACAGGUCCUGGCUUCCGUAAGGUGAACAACGGGCACCUAGGGGUGAUGAAAUGGCCAUCUUCAGACAAAAUGAAGCCAGAAAUGCUGAUACAUGACCUUGGUGGACCCCUGGACCCAGGACCCCUGGUGUCAUCCAGAAAAUUAAUGGAGACAUGCUUCAAACUAUGUUCAUAUGUGGAGAUUUUCUAAGUUUAUCUAUGUCUUAACCAAUCAGAAUCAUUCAACCUGAUGUAAUGAUGUAGUGACCUGAACCUGAAGAGUGGCCACGAACUCCUUGCUGAGUGUUACUGAUGAAACUGCAAACUAUUCAAGUAAAAUUUUCUUCAGUUGA